Anguilla rostrata (American eel) is the source of this 539-nucleotide long non-coding RNA. RefSeq lists it as uncharacterized. Lineage: Eukaryota; Metazoa; Chordata; Actinopteri; Anguilliformes; Anguillidae. The record is from RefSeq and is a predicted model, not a curated record. The transcript has 2 exons.
GUUUCACCCGGUGUUGGCCAGAAACACUUUUUCCUGCUGUGUCGGCGUGCCUCUUUUUCACUCCUCCAGAGUGCUUGGUGGGAGAAUAACACGAAUAACGUCCAUUUGAAGGUGCCGUUCUCCGAAAGGAAUGUUUGCCUCACACAGCCCUGCUCCUGGCCCUCACCUCCAGACGUCGCUGCUCUUGGAGAAGAGGGACAGCUUGAUGACCUCCGGGGCCAUCCAGGCGUAGGUCCCCGCCGCGCUCAUCUUGGUGGUGCGGUGCCACUCUCGCGCCAGCCCGAAAUCCGUGAUCUUCAGCGUCCUCCAGCACACGUCCUCCCUGUCCGCCUGCUCCAGGAUCAGAACUGUGGGAGGGAGGAGUGGGGAGAGGGGGGCAGAGGGGGAAAGCGACAGACGAAGAAAAGUAUUUAGAAACAGUCUUGUCAAAUAUUUAAAAAACAAGAGUACUUGACCUUCACUAAUGUAAGCCCGUGGGAGUGCUCUUUAGCAAUUUGCCAUUUUUUCAACACUAAUAAAAACCUUUUGGUUUUACUGCA